RNAcentral lists this ribosomal RNA (257 nucleotides) under uncultured bacterium. RNAcentral's name for it is "partial 16S ribosomal RNA". It matches the Rfam family "Bacterial small subunit ribosomal RNA", at positions 793 to 1055 of the family's 1533-position model. The record is from RNAcentral.
GUCCACGCCGUAAACGAUGCUAACUCGUUUUUGGGUUUUCGGAUUCAGAGACUAAGCGAAAGUGAUAAGUUAGCCACCUGGGGAGUACGUUCGCAAGAAUGAAACUCAAAGGAAUUGACGGGGGCCCGCACAAGCGGUGGAUUAUGUGGUUUAAUUCGAUGAUACGCGAGGAACCUUACCAAGGCUUAAAUGGGAAUUGACAGGUUUGGAAACAGACUUUUCUUCGGACAAUUUUCAAGGUGCUGCAUGGUUGUCGU